Frieseomelitta varia is the source of this 436-nucleotide long non-coding RNA. RefSeq lists it as uncharacterized. NCBI's taxonomy places the organism in Eukaryota, Metazoa, Arthropoda, Insecta, Hymenoptera, Apidae. The record is from RefSeq and is a predicted model, not a curated record. The transcript is spliced from 3 exons.
CCCUCUUCACGCAUCAGGGAAGAAACGAAAUAACCGCCAUUUACAGACUAUGGUUGCUUCGACCUGAGCGCAACAUUUCGUGCCUUUGAAGACACGUACCAGAAAGAAGCCUAUACAGUUAUUGGCCUCUUCCACGGCAACAUAAACGACAGCAGAAUGCUGAGUUGUAGCUAUCCGAUGCGUUCCAGUAUGUCAGUCUUCAUGGGUAAAAGUAAAGCACGAACAAUGGAUUCAAGAUCACUCGUACAACAAAAGGAAACAAACGUGCGUGACACUAUAGUUAAUUGGACCUUGUUAAAAUCAGUCUCACUAUAAUCACAAAUGAUGCCUACUGCGAGAAAACAGACCACUAUUAUAGCAAGUGGACAGUGAAUAAUGGCUGGACAUUAAUAUUAAUAUUUUAUGAAAUUUGAGCAUUACAUAGUGUAACAUGGAA